Molecule: non-coding RNA, 125 nt
Organism: Triticum aestivum (bread wheat)
Lineage: Eukaryota; Viridiplantae; Streptophyta; Magnoliopsida; Poales; Poaceae
Source: Rfam
CACAUACUCCCUUCGUCCGGAAAUACUUGUCGCAGAAAUGCAAAAAGAUGGAUGUAUUUAGAACUAAAAUACGUCUUGAUACAUCCAUUCCCCCGAGAAGUAUUUCCGGACGAAGGGAGUAUUUC